AGAUAUCAAGAAAGGAGACGUUCUCAUCGUCGGAGCUUGUAUUUAUUUAUGGACUUGCUGUUUCCGCUGGAUUAUUUCAUUUUGGGGGGGGCUCUCCCACUCGAUUCUGUAACUUGACAGAGACAAAGACAAGCAAGAAAAAGACGAAAUCAAAAUUAAAAAAAAGAAUCAAAAAAAAAAAAUCAACUUGUACAUUUAUUAUUGACGGAAUGUGAAAAAAAGGAGAAUAGAGAACGGAGAACGGAGAAUGGAGAGAUGAAUUUGCUAACAAGGAGAAGAGAAGAGCGUUCAUUACGAAUUGGUUAAUGUAGAAAAACAAAGUAGGGCGAUUUUCAGAAUAAAAAGAAAGGAAAAGGCGGAGGGGAGGGAGAAGAGAAUACAGAGCAACGUCCUGCAGUACCGUGGUCCCUGCUGUGGAGGUUGAGAGAAUCGAGAACAGAACAAACACACAAAUUUAAAAAGGUCCCCGGCUAGGCAGCAUGUCGCAGCAUGUCGCAGCAUGUCGCAACGGGAAAAGGCGAGUGGGUAGUCUGGGAGAAAGGCAGGGAGAUUGGAAGAUUGAGAGAUGAGAAGAUUAGGAUAUUAUGCGGAAGAACCAGCCAGAAAACACCCCGAGAAAAAAACACAAGGUAGAGUAUGAAAUGCAAGCCGCUAACAACACCACACCAAGCCGUACCGUUUUCCUUAUUUUUUUAUUUUUAUUUUUGUAUUUUUUAAGCUUUCCGUUUUUUACAUCCCUUAUACCGGCACCAUGCUUAUCGCUAUCACUGUGGAGAGGAG
Molecule: small RNA, 780 nt
Filed under: Histoplasma capsulatum var. duboisii H88
Lineage: Eukaryota; Fungi; Ascomycota; Eurotiomycetes; Onygenales; Ajellomycetaceae
Description: Histoplasma capsulatum H88 hypothetical RNA
Source: RNAcentral